Molecule: ribosomal RNA, 931 nt
Filed under: uncultured bacterium
Lineage: Bacteria
Description: bacterial SSU rRNA
Rfam family: Bacterial small subunit ribosomal RNA
Source: RNAcentral
UGCAAGUCGUACGGUGUAGCAAUACACAGUGGCGAACGGGAGAGUAAUAAAUCGCUAACGUGCCCCGGACUCUGGGAUAGCUGCCUGAAAGGGCAGGUAAUACCAGAUGACAUAUCCUGCUCGCAUGAGUGGGAUCUCAAAGGUCCGCCGGUCUGGGAGCGGGCGAUUUCGUAUCAGCUAGUUGGUGAGGUAACGGCUCACCAAGGCGACGACGCGUAGCCGGACUGAGAGGUUGGCCGGCCUCAUUGGGACUGAGACACUGCCCAGACUCCUACGGGGGGCUGCAGUAACGAAUCUUCCGCAAUGCACGCAAGUGUGACGGAGCGACGCCGCGUGUGGGACGAAGUCCUUCGGGAUGUAAACCACUGUCAGGGGUUACCAAGUUCUGAGGAGCCCCAGAGGAAGGCACGGCUAACUCUGUGCCAGCAGCCGCGGUAAGACAGAGGUGCCAAGCGUUAGGCGGAAUCACUGGGCUUAAAGCGUGUGUAGGCGGAUCUGUAAGUACCUUGUGAAAUCCCACGGCUCAACCGUGGAACUGCUGGGUAUACUGCGGAUCUUGAGCUGCUUAGGGGCGACCGGAACAAAUGGUGGAGCGGUGAAAUGCGUAGAUAUCAUUUGGAACGCCAAAGGUGAAAACAGGUCGCUGGGAGCAUGCUGACGCUGAGACACGAAAGCCAGGGGAGCGAACGGGAUUAGAUACCCCGGUAGUCCUGGCCCUAAACGAUGUCGACUGGAUCGUGGCGGCUCUGACGUCGUCACGGUCGAAGCAAAAGUGCUAAGUCGACCGCCUGGGAAGUACGGUCGCAAGGCUAAAACUCAAAGGAAUUGACGGGGGCUCACACAAGCGGUGGAGCAUGUGGUUCAAUUCGAAGCAACGCGCAGAACCUUACCUGGGCUUGACUCGCUCGGAUUAUCCCUAUGAAAGUAGGGG